ACCACCUAACUUUUCCUUUUCUUUUUGCUCUCCUAUCUCCUCCGAAACCCAAACAGAAAAUCCGUUGCCCCUUUGAGAUUCUCUGAUCCUCAAUUUCUCAUCUAACUUAUCUAAAAUCCACAUUUGACAAAACCGCAAUAUGGGGAAUGCCCUGAGGUUACUCUAUGGAUAUUGUUGCAAGCCCACUACAACAGGGGACUCUGAAUCAUUGGGACCCCACGGCGUGUCUGCGGCCACCGUCAGUGUUUCAGCUCUUGCCCAAGAUUUGUUUAACUUUGAUAUCACCUCCCAGGUCCCCCAAGGGCUCAGUGAACAUGUGGUCUCUUCCAAGAAAGCUCAAGCUAACUGGUAUAGAAAGCUGUCAGAUGCAUGGAAAGAAGCAAAACCUCCACCAAGGACACCAGAAGAAGCUGCUAGACUUGUUAUUCAGACCUUGAAAAGACAUCAAACGGCAGAUGUUGAGGGAUUACUGGCUUUUUAUGGUCUCCCACUUCCUCAUACUCUUGUUCCACUUUCUACUGGGGUGCCAACAUCAUUACCCGAGGGGGUCAAGUUUGAGUUGCAGACUCUACCAGUGGAUGCAAAAGCUGUGCCUGAUGGAGACACAAUAUCUGUCUACGUUAGCACUGCUGAUCCUAGGGAGUCGUCCUGUGUUCCGAGGGAUGUUCAAAUGGCAGCUGUUCAAAGAUCAAAGGCGCGUGCAGAUAGGAAUUAUGAGAGAGCAGACGCACUCCACAAGAAAAUUAUUGACUCUGGAUAUAGGGUAAUUAAGGUUCAAAAUGAGGAGAUUCUUGCUCGAAAAUAUCGCAUUCGACUAAGGGGAAUAGAUGCACCAGAGAGUUCAAUGCCGUAUGGAAAAGAGGCACAAGAGGAGCUAGUUAAGCUUAUCCAGGGGAAGUGUCUAAGAAUCUUUGUUUAUGAGGAAGAUCGUUAUGGCCGUAGCGUUGGUGAUGUAUAUUGCAACGGCAUAUUUGCACAGGAAGUAAUGCUAAAGAAGGGGCUUGCAUGGCAUUAUACUGCUUAUGACCAACGAUUCGAACUGGCAACGUGGGAGAAAGAGGCUCGAGCAAAACGUGUAGGCUUAUGGGCUUCAUCGAAUCCUGAGAAGCCAUGGGAAUGGAGGAAGGACAGAAG
This 1134-nucleotide unclassified non-coding RNA is filed under the name Hevea brasiliensis (rubber tree). The record is from RNAcentral. Lineage: Eukaryota; Viridiplantae; Streptophyta; Magnoliopsida; Malpighiales; Euphorbiaceae.